This 72-nucleotide transfer RNA is filed under the name Planctomycetota bacterium. RNAcentral describes it as "Planctomycetes bacterium (wastewater metagenome) tRNA-Gln". It matches the Rfam family "tRNA". From Rfam's summary of the family: Transfer RNA (tRNA) molecules are approximately 80 nucleotides in length. The record is from RNAcentral. Lineage: Bacteria; Pseudomonadati; Planctomycetota.
UACCUGGUAGUGUAAUUGGCAACACCACAGAUUUUGGUUCUGUUAUUCAAGGUUCGAGUCCUUGCCGGGUAG